Long non-coding RNA from Epinephelus fuscoguttatus (brown-marbled grouper), 858 nucleotides. RefSeq lists it as uncharacterized. Lineage: Eukaryota; Metazoa; Chordata; Actinopteri; Perciformes; Serranidae. The record is from RefSeq and is a predicted model, not a curated record. The transcript has 3 exons.
UAGGAGCAGGUGUCUGAUAAUGGACAGGCUGAAUGUCAAGGGAAAGAGGUGCUGGUAUUAAAAAGUUUUUCGACCGUGCUCUUUACGUUGAUUGGUGGCUGCUCGUUUCCCAGUUUCCUUUUGACAACUAAGAAGACAGCUUUGUUCAUUUUUGAGUUGAAGAGUAAACGCAGUUACUUUUUUAAAUCUAAAGUUCUGGAGAGUUCUGGAAAGUUCUAGAGAGUUCUGGAAAGUUCUUGGACACACCCACGGCUGCAAUCAAAGAAAAACUCUUUGAUUGAACAAAAGUAGAUCGACUCCACAAGCGGAGGAACACAAGCAGCGGAGACAGUGGACGGAGCUUCUGCGGUCUGUCAUUUCAUCAUUCUUGUCAUCUCUGCAUUCGCAUUCGAAGGCUUCGUCACAUCGUCACAGCCGUCCUAUCAGUUCCACAACUGGAAAACCUUCCAUCAGCUCCGCAGAAAGCUGUCCCUAACAACCUCGUCCAAAUCACACCCUCAGCUCACCUGACUGGCCAGCAUCAGGUCCCCUUGUCCUCUCUAGACGCCACGGUCUUUUGCAGUUUUACCACACAUUGUACCCAUAAAAUGAUUAAUUCAGUGUUUCAUUUUGAUGAUUAAGAAGACAUUUUUGUUAAUUUCUGAGUUGAAGAAUAAACACAGUUACUUUUUGAAAUCGACAGUUCUGGAAAAUUCUUGGACACUGCUGCUGAAAAAGGCCCUAAACCUAGAUGACACAGGAACUCAGGGCUUCAAGGUCAGGAGUGGGAUCCAGGAGGAUGGACAGGAGUGAGAUGGUGGUACUUAAAGGCACCACAGAGCCCUGUUUACUUCUUUGUAAAAAUGCAUUAAGAGAGUC